GACGAACGCUGGCGGCGUGCUUAACACAUGCAAGUCGAACGGAAAGGCCCCUUCGGGGGUACUCGAGUGGCGAACGGGUGAGUAACACGUGAGUAACCUGCCCUUGACUUCGGGAUAACUUCAGGAAACUGGGGCUAAUACCGGAUAGGAAUCCUUGCCGCAUGGUGGGGGUUGGAAAGCUUCGGCGGUUUUGGAUGGACUCGCGGCUUAUCAGCUUGUUGGUGGGGUAGUGGCUUACCAAGGCUUUGACGGGUAGCCGGCCUGAGAGGGCGACCGGCCACAUUGGGACUGAGAUACGGCCCAGACUCCUACGGGAGGCAGCAGUGGGGAAUAUUGCACAAUGGGCGGAAGCCUGAUGCAGCAACGCCGCGUGCGGGAUGACGGCCUUCGGGUUGUAAACCGCUUUCAGCAGGGGCGAAGCUUGUGGUGACGGUACCUGCAGAAGAAGCACCGGCUAACUACGUG
RNAcentral lists this ribosomal RNA (465 nucleotides) under uncultured bacterium. Its description in RNAcentral is "partial 16S ribosomal RNA". It matches the Rfam family "Bacterial small subunit ribosomal RNA", at positions 28 to 507 of the family's 1533-position model. The record is from RNAcentral.